Molecule: long non-coding RNA, 622 nt
Filed under: Homo sapiens (human)
Lineage: Eukaryota; Metazoa; Chordata; Mammalia; Primates; Hominidae
Description: HSALNT0299909
Source: RNAcentral
AGAAACGGAACCAGCGGGAACCUUGACCUGAGACUUGCAGCCUCCAGAACUGGGAGAAAAUAGAUUUCUGUUGUUUCAAGCCCCCGAGCCUGUGGUAUUUUGUCCCAGCAGCCUGAGCAGGCUGAAAUGGGAGGAAACUGCAGCCGAGUCAGCUCCUCUGACUCUAGGCCGACCGUUCUUCCCUGUAUGACAUGUGACUCACCAGAUAAAGCCACACACGUCAUUCUUUUAAAAUUCUCUACUCUGUCCCAAGUUCUUGUCCCACAUCCAGAAGAAUAAGGUUAUGCAGACAACCAGAGAGUGAGCAGGGCAGAAAAAAACUUCUAUUGCAUGAUGGAACAGCUCCCAGCGUUGAGGGGACCUGAGAGUGGGCAGCCACUACCUGAAGCAUCAUUAUAAACUGCUGAUCUACUGUUUCUUUGUCAAACGGGAGGAGAUAACAUGAGGGUCAUGAGAAAUGUUUGCAGACGGAGUGAAUGCCUUGAAAGUGCUGCGACCAGGUGCUGACACCCGGAGGUCUGGCUGCUCAAAGUGUUAGCUGACACGGAAGACACACGGACUUUCCCUCCAUUCCCCAAAACUCCCCUUCCCUGACUCGUCAGCUGCAUAAAAACCCUCUCCU